RNAcentral lists this ribosomal RNA (433 nucleotides) under uncultured bacterium. RNAcentral describes it as "partial 16S ribosomal RNA". It matches the Rfam family "Bacterial small subunit ribosomal RNA", at positions 29 to 507 of the family's 1533-position model. The record is from RNAcentral.
AGCGAACGCUGGCGGCAGGCUUAACACAUGCAAGUCGAGCGGGCACUUCGGUGUCAGCGGCAGACGGGUGAGUAACACGUGGGAACGUACCCUUUGGUUCGGAAUAACGCUGGGAAACUAGCGCUAAUACCGGAUACGCCCUUUUGGGGAAAGGCUUGCUGCCGAAGGAUCGGCCCGCGUCUGAUUAGCUAGUUGGUGGGGUAAUGGCCUACCAAGGCGACGAUCAGUAGCUGGUCUGAGAGGAUGAUCAGCCACACCGGGACUGAGACACGGCCCAGACUCCUACGGGAGGCAGCAGUGGGGAAUAUUGGACAAUGGGCGCAAGCCUGAUCCAGCCAUGCCGCGUGAGUGAUGAAGGCCUUAGGGUUGUAAAGCUCUUUUGUCCGGGACGAUAAUGACGGUACCGGAAGAAUAAGCCCCGGCUAACUUCGUG